GACGAACGCUGGCGGCGUGCUUAACACAUGCAAGUCGAACGGAAAGGUCCUGCUUUUGUUGGGUGCUCGAGUGGCGAACGGGUGAGUAACACGUGAGUAACCUGCCCUUGACUUUGGGAUAACUUCAGGAAACUGGGGCUAAUAACGGAUAGGAGCUCCUGCUGCAUGGUGGGGGUUGGAAAGUUUCGGCGGUUGGGGAUGGACUCGCGGCUUAUCAGCUUGUUGGUGGGGUAGUGGCUUACCAAGGCUUUGACGGGUAGCCGGCCUGAGAGGGUGACCGGCCACAUUGGAACUGAGAUACGGCCCAGCCUCCUACGGGAGGCAGCAGUGGGGAAUAUUGCACAAUGGGCGGAAGCCUGAUGCAGCCCCGCCGCGUGCGGGAUGACGGCAUUCGGGUUGUAAACCGCUUUCGCCUGUGACGAAGCGUGAGUGACGGUAAUGGGUAAAGAAGCACCGGCUAACUACGUG
RNAcentral lists this ribosomal RNA (468 nucleotides) under uncultured bacterium. RNAcentral's name for it is "partial 16S ribosomal RNA". It matches the Rfam family "Bacterial small subunit ribosomal RNA", at positions 28 to 507 of the family's 1533-position model. The record is from RNAcentral.